GAUGAACGCUGGCGGCGUGCUUAACACAUGCAAGUCGAACGAAGCACUUAACUUUGAUUCUUCGGAUGAAGAGUUUUGUGACUGAGUGGCGGACGGGUGAGUAACGCGUGGGUAACCUGCCUCAUACAGGGGGAUAACAGUUAGAAAUGACUGCUAAUACCGCAUAAGCGCACAGUACCGCAUGGUACGGUGUGAAAAACUCCGGUGGUAUGAGAUGGACCCGCGUCUGAUUAGCUAGUUGGUGGGGUAACGGCCUACCAAGGCGACGAUCAGUAGCCGGCCUGAGAGGGUGAACGGCCACAUUGGGACUGAGACACGGCCCAAACUCCUACGGGAGGCAGCAGUGGGGGAUAUUGCGCAAUGGGGGCAACCCUGACGCAGCAAUGCCGCGUGAAGGAUGAAGGUUUUCGGAUUGUAAACUUCUUUUAUUAAGGACGAACAAUGACGGUACUUAAUGAAUAAGCUCCGGCUAACUACGUG
This 480-nucleotide ribosomal RNA is filed under the name uncultured bacterium. Its description in RNAcentral is "bacterial SSU rRNA". It matches the Rfam family "Bacterial small subunit ribosomal RNA", at positions 28 to 507 of the family's 1533-position model. The record is from RNAcentral.